Molecule: non-coding RNA, 125 nt
Organism: Triticum aestivum (bread wheat)
Lineage: Eukaryota; Viridiplantae; Streptophyta; Magnoliopsida; Poales; Poaceae
Source: Rfam
GAUGUACUCCCUCCGUCCAGAAAUACUUGUUAUUGAAAUGAAUGUAUCUAGAUGUAUUUUAAUUCUAGAUACAUCCAUUUUCAUCCAUUUAUGCGACAAGUAUUUCCGGACGGAGGGAGUAGUAU